AAAACGCCCUGCCUCUCUCUGCUCUCCUUCGCGAUUUUUCUCAGGCCAUUUUCUGCAGUUUUCACCUCCGUCCUUUACCGCUGCUUUUGUCUCCAUCCAUUGUCUCCUCAUUCUCCUAUUCGUGGUGUACCAUAAACACCAGUUUGCGUGGAUCGCAAUAGCAGAAGCCUUAAGCUUUUUGGAUCCAAAUCGCCGAUUUCAUGUCGUGCCCGUCCUUUUUUCGCCUUCUCCUUCUUCUAUUCGUUGAUAUUACUGCAAAAACCCUAAUUCACAAAUAGCAGAAACCCUAGCUGUUCCGAUUUUAACUUUUUCACUCCGAAAUCUGACUCCUAUUUCUACAAUGGUUAGAGAAAUUGAUUUGAAGAGGAAAUGAGAUAUUGAUGGUGAAUCAUCUUCAAAGAAAAAGAAGAGAAGAACUUAUAAACCCAAGGUAUUCUACAUGUUAUAGUUUUUAUAUACCCAUUCUUCUUUUCUGUAAUUUUUUAGUUAGUUGUAGGGCCUCUAGCUUGAUUUUAGAGUAGGCACCAUGAUCGGAAUAGGUGGCUGAAACUGGAUCCAUCUUGAUAAAAAAUAAGAUACGUGCAUAAAUAUCUAUUCCUGUUCGAAUUCGGACUAAGUUGGAGAUUAUACAAGUGAAUGAAUUUUUCAAGUAAUGAAUAUCAAACAUUCCCCCUUAGCUACAAAAGGCUAAAAACCAGUUCCAGUAAGUAAUAAGUUGCUGAUCAAUUUGAGUUAUUAUGAAUUAAAAUUACAUUUCAAUUCAUAAGAUUGAAUUCUAUUCAUUUACUUCAAAAUAUAAACUGUAUAGGCUUUAUGUUUUGUAAUUGAUUCAAUUAUGUUUGGAGUAAAAGGUGAAAUUGGAUUGUUCUUCUUUUGGCUUUUGUAUAAAGCUAUUAUUCUCCAGUACUCAAAUCGUAUCGACAAAUUUAAGAUAUAGAAACACUUUCUGCUGGGUCUUAGUGAAUUAACUUCAGCGUUGUCAAUAUUCUAGUCCUUUGUGAUUUAUCUUUUUAUUUUUAUUUCUUGAAGAUCUCAUGCAUAGCUUCUGCAACCAGUUUUGAGUAUAUGACAGAAUAAAAUUAUGCUGGAUUAGAACUAGUAAAAUGCGAGUAGCGGGAGCGAUGUGAUAUGAAAUAAUGUACAAGAUUAGCUUUAAGUACUUUCAACUAUCUUAUCAUAAAUUUAGUUGAAGAGUACAAAUUAUUAUUGUCUGUAGACUGGAAUAUGAUGGUAACAAUUUCACAAGACACUUGCAAAUUAAGCAUUUAACUGAAUCAAUAAUUCAAUAGUGAUGUCAUUUUCACUCAAGAAUUUGACAUCAUCUGCAGGGUAUUUCAGUGAGCUAUAUUAAGCAUUGAUCAUGGGCUCUGGAGUUUGGUUCAAGAAUAUAAUGAGCAAAAAGAAAGUGAGAGGUGACAAAUCACAAAAAUUGAAGGUUUGCUGCUCUUAAAUAUUCUUAAUUCCCUUAGUCUUGGCAGUCUUAGACAUGAUAUAUAAUUUUAUAUAAAUUUUUGUUUCAGGCUCAUGAGUUGUGACGAGAUCAUUCUCAAAGGUGUAAUUCCAUAAUUAUCGUCGAAAUUCCACUUCUUAGGUAAGCAAUGGCUUGCCCUAACUUGUUAUUGAAGAUAUUGGAAAUAUUUGAAGCCUUGUCGGCAUAUAUAAUUGCAGCCUUGUCGGCUUAUAUGAUUGGUUAUUGUGGAAUGAACAAUUGCACAAGCGCACAUAGUAACUGUAUUAGAAAUUGUAAUUGUGUGAUGAUUGAGAUAUUUUGUAAUUAUUUUUUUAGGUUAAUCAUUGGACAUUAGGUACAUACUCAUACACUAUGCCUCCUAAAUAUGAGUCUAGUGCUCAAAAGAGAAAAAUGAAACGAAAUAUAGCGUUUGGAACACAUUAGACUCA
This 1899-nucleotide long non-coding RNA is filed under the name Olea europaea subsp. europaea. The record is from RNAcentral. Lineage: Eukaryota; Viridiplantae; Streptophyta; Magnoliopsida; Lamiales; Oleaceae.